This 119-nucleotide ribosomal RNA is filed under the name Pteropus alecto (black flying fox). Lineage: Eukaryota; Metazoa; Chordata; Mammalia; Chiroptera; Pteropodidae. The record is from RNAcentral.
AUCUAUAGCCAUGCCACCCUUAAUGUGCCCAAUCUCGUCUGAUCUUGGAAGCUAAGCAGGGUUGGGCCUGGUUAAUGCUUGGAUGGGAGACUACCUAGGAAGACCAGGUGCUGUAGGUG